Lagopus muta (rock ptarmigan) is the source of this 1248-nucleotide long non-coding RNA. RefSeq lists it as uncharacterized. NCBI's taxonomy places the organism in Eukaryota, Metazoa, Chordata, Aves, Galliformes, Phasianidae. The record is from RefSeq and is a predicted model, not a curated record. The transcript has 3 exons.
UUGGCUCCUUGCAACCUUAAGCAAGGGAGACUUAGCCUAUAGCUAAUGUUUGUAGAAAUGCGAAGGUGGAAAUGCUCCAUGCAUCAGAUCUGGAAGUAUGAUGGAAGGAGUGCUACUGUUCUCUUCUUCUGGACCUCAUCUAGCACUAGAGAUAACAAGGCAGAUGAUGACUGUGUUAUGCUAGCAGGCAAGAUGAACCUCAUUCCAAAAGUGCCAUGUAGAUGGUGCCUAAAUGUAACAGCAAGAUGAAUGAAGGUCUUUGAGUAUCAAGAUGGUGUGAUAGAUUCUUGGAACUGAAAACUGAACACCAGUGGAAUCCUUCAGAAGGCAACUGAGCUUUGUUUGUACAUGUUAUGGUAACCUUGGGACCAUCCUGGGGUUUUGAGCUGACUUGCCCUCUAUCUCAUCUCUGCUCUGGAACUGAAAGCAUAAGGAUACCAUGAGCUCAAGCUGAUCCAACAUUUCUUACUCACGCUAGUAUUUGUAGAGAGAGAGAAUCUAUUCUAAAACUGCAACAUCUGGUAGAGUUGGAAAAAAAAAAAAACAAUAAACUUUUGGACUCCAUUUCUCUCUGAUUGACAUCAUGAUGGAUAUAUGAAUGACCAGCAAGCACAGCAGGUAAAUUGUAUACAUGAUAGAAUGGAAUAUGAUUUGCUGUCUUCAGAUUGGAUGGUCUGUUUUAAAUGGCAGAUCUUAAUGCUGUGUUAUAACAGGUGCAGUAUUAUCAUGGUAUGAUAUUUGGGGGUGAGGUUUGUUCAUUAUUCUUUCCAGAAAUGGUCUGAAUUCCUCUCACUCUGAGUUCAAACCCAGAUCCAGCUUCUCAUGUCUGCAAAAUGUGACAGAGAUAUGCUAUUAACAAUGUGAGAUGAGAUUUUUUUUAGCUGAAUUUUCUGACCUGGACUUAGAAAACCUUAUGGAUUCAUUCAUUUGGCUUAAUUCCUUCUCCUGGAAAAUGGAUAUAAUUUUUUUUUUUUAACUUAUUCUAACACAAUGAUGCAAAAUAAUUUUAUGUGCUCUUGAACAAUGUUUGAAUGGUUGGAAAAGGGUACUGAAAUGGAUUUGUUACGGCACUUGAGUCUUUUAGUGAGGAAAACUUGGUGUGAGUUGAAUUAUCUUUUGUGCCUUACACAAUGUAUUUUUCUUCACUCAUACUGAGGAAAUCCAGGACUAGAAGUUACAUGUUUGGCAAUAAGUAGGUCUCAUGGGAGUUUUGAUAUGAGAGCAGAAUGAGCUUUUAUUUCAUAAUAA